UUAUUACGGGUUAAGCCUGCCCACUGACAAGAUUUUAACGGCCGCAGUACCCUGACUGUGCAAAGGUAGCAUAAUCAUUUGUCUUAUAAUUGAGGACUAGAAUGAAUGGUUUCAUGUAGGCAUAACUGUCUCUUUUGUGUUGCUAAAAAUUAAUUUUUUGGUUAAAAAGCCAACAUAUUAUUAUUAGACGAGAAGACCCUACUGAGCUUAAUUUAUAAACUUUAAAUGCUUAAAAAUAAAAAUUUGGUUGGGGUGACAAAGGAACUAUUUUUACCUUCCUUUCUAAUUUUCAUAAUAAUUUUUACUACGAUCCAUUUUUAAUGAUCAAAUAACAAGUUACCAUAGGGAUAACAGCAUAAUUCUUUUUAAGAGCUCACAUCGAAAAAAGAGUUUGUGACCUCGAUGUUGGACUAAGGUACAUUAAAAGCGCAACCGUUUUUAAUUAUAGUCUGUUCGACUAGCUU
Molecule: ribosomal RNA, 464 nt
Filed under: Georissa similis
Lineage: Eukaryota; Metazoa; Mollusca; Gastropoda; Cycloneritida; Hydrocenidae
Description: partial 16S ribosomal RNA
Rfam family: Bacterial large subunit ribosomal RNA
Source: RNAcentral